This is a long non-coding RNA of Echinops telfairi (small Madagascar hedgehog), 1380 nucleotides long. RefSeq lists it as uncharacterized. The record is from RefSeq and is a predicted model, not a curated record. The transcript has 2 exons. Lineage: Eukaryota; Metazoa; Chordata; Mammalia; Afrosoricida; Tenrecidae.
UCACGCGCACACCCACACGCACACACACACACAAACAGUUCUCUACUACCAAGAAGAGGAGGCCGGGACGUGGCGGCUCCCGAGACCACGCUGAGCAGUCUUCAAGAGCUGUGAGCAUCGAGACUGAGAGCACCUCCCUGCUUUUUCCGCCCUGGUGUUUGGGGUCCUGAACCGUCUCAGCCCUGCAGUCCUUGCCCAGGAAGACAGAGACGAGAGGUGCAGCAGGCUUGGCGGCUACCACUGGAAGCAGGAAGAUGGUUGAAGGUUCGGGUGACAGUGGAAGUCUUGAGAGGACCACGCCCCUGAGAGGACAGGCCUGAACCAAGGCCAGGGUCCACGUGGGCAGGCAGAGAUGGGCACUCAGACAGGUGAAGGGGGAAGAGACUUCCUGCAUACCUUCCUGUCCUGCUCACUGGACUCCCAAUGUCUAGACCACAGGCCAGUGGGCCAUGGUUAUACAAGGGAAGCCUGGAGUUACUGGGGACACACACUCCAGGUUCCUCCUCCCUCCUCCAGGCCCCUCUCCCCAACACCAGCUGCCCCUGCUCCCCAAUAGCAGAAACACUCUCUCUGGGGCUGCCUUUACCGGCCUCCACCUCCUGGGGGACAAGGGUUGUGCCCAGUCUGAGCCAUCUCAGCUGGCUCCAGGAGGCCCCGUGGAGGGUCUAGGCGGUCUCCAAUGUGCUACCCCCACACUGGCUGAGCCAUGGCAGCCCAUACCAGAGAGGGAGUCAAGAGAAACGUAGACUCUCCAGGGCCAGCACUCAACUGGUGCCUCAUUCAAUAUGCCCCCGCCCACCAAUGAAAACAUUAACCCCCCCCAAAGGCUCCAAGAAUAACAAGACAAAUUUCCACAUACCUUCACCUUGACCUUGCACUAGUAUUCUCCCAUUGUUACCACUUGCCUUAUAUGCUUUAUGUUUUUAAUCUAUCACUUCAUUGAUUAGUUGGUUUGCUUGCCCUGGUAAGUAAAUUGCAGACAUCAAAUCCCUUCAGCUUCAAAUGUUUCACCCCUAAAUAUGCCAGCAUGUUCCCUAGGAAUAGGAACGUUCUUCUAAAGACUGGCAACAAUAUUUGAUAAUAUUUAAUACAUAAUGCAUAUUCAACCCAAACUCACUGACUCACAGUGGCCUCAGACCCCGUGUUGUCCCCAGAGGCCCCAAUCCAGGACCUACACAUGGUUCACAUAUUGUCAGGGCUCUGGUCUCCUUUAAUCCAGAUUAUUCCUCUGACCUCAAGCUUAUUUAUUUCUGUAUUUGUUUACUUAUUUUGGUCUCUUAUGAUAUUGAUAUUGCAAACCAGUCACCUGGACACUGUCUCACAUUCUGAAUUCAACUGAUUAAUAAACUCCAUGUGAUUAAAUUCAGGUGAUUUUUUUCA